UACGAAGGGAGCUAGCGUUGUUCGGAAUCACUGGGCGUAAAGCGCACGUAGGCGGAUGUGUCAGUCAGGGGUGAAAUCCCGGAGCUCAACUUCGGAACUGCCUCUGAUACAGCACAUCUUGAGUCCGAUAGAGGUGGGUGGAAUUCCUAGUGUAGAGGUGAAAUUCGUAGAUAUUAGGAGGAACACCCAUAGCGAAGGCAGCUUGCUGGGACGUUACUGACGCUAAGGCGCGAAAGCGUGGGGAGCGAACAGG
This 253-nucleotide ribosomal RNA is filed under the name uncultured bacterium. RNAcentral's name for it is "partial 16S ribosomal RNA". It matches the Rfam family "Bacterial small subunit ribosomal RNA", at positions 524 to 776 of the family's 1533-position model. The record is from RNAcentral.